GCCCGCCUAGCUCAAUCGGAUAGAGCGUCAGACUCUUAUCACUGGCUAGUGCGGAUAUCUGAAGGCUGCGAGUUCGACCCUCGCGGUGGGCU
RNAcentral lists this transfer RNA (92 nucleotides) under Punctularia strigosozonata HHB-11173 SS5. It matches the Rfam family "tRNA". From Rfam's summary of the family: Transfer RNA (tRNA) molecules are approximately 80 nucleotides in length. The record is from Rfam by way of RNAcentral. Lineage: Eukaryota; Fungi; Basidiomycota; Agaricomycetes; Corticiales; Punctulariaceae.